GACGAACGCUGGCGGCGUGCCUAAUACAUGCAAGUCGAACGCAUUUUCUUUCACCGUAGCUUGCUACACCGAAAGAAAAUGAGUGGCGAACGGGUGAGUAACACGUGGGUAACCUGCCCAUCAGCGGGGGAUAAUACUUGGAAACAGGUGCUAAUACCGCAUAAUUCCAUUUACUGCAUGGUAGAUGGAUGAAAGGCGCUUUUGCGUCACUGAUGGAUGGACCCGCGGUGCAUUAGCUAGUUGGUGGGGUAACGGCCUACCAAGGCUGCGAUGCAUAGCCGACCUGAGAGGGUGAUCGGCCACACUGGGACUGAGACACGGCCCAGACUCCUACGGGAGGCAGCAGUAGGGAAUCUUCGGCAAUGGACGCAAGUCUGACCGAGCAACGCCGCGUGAGUGAAGAAGGUUUUCGGAUCGUAAAACUCUGUUGUUAGAAAAGAACAAGGAUGAGAGUGGAAAGUUCAUCCCUUGACGGUAUCUAACCAGAAAGCCACGGCUAACUACGUG
This 507-nucleotide ribosomal RNA is filed under the name uncultured bacterium. RNAcentral's name for it is "partial 16S ribosomal RNA". It matches the Rfam family "Bacterial small subunit ribosomal RNA", at positions 28 to 507 of the family's 1533-position model. The record is from RNAcentral.